This 107-nucleotide small nuclear RNA is filed under the name Echinops telfairi (small Madagascar hedgehog). Lineage: Eukaryota; Metazoa; Chordata; Mammalia; Afrosoricida; Tenrecidae. The record is from RNAcentral.
GUGUUGGCUUUGACAGCACAUGAACUAAAAAUGGAAUGGUACAGAGAAGAUGAACUUGGCCCCUGGGCAGGAAUGAUAUGCACAUUCAUGAAACAUUUCAUAUUUAA